RNAcentral lists this unclassified non-coding RNA (234 nucleotides) under uncultured Eurotiales. RNAcentral describes it as "sequence contains ITS2". Lineage: Eukaryota; Fungi; Ascomycota; Eurotiomycetes; Eurotiales. The record is from RNAcentral.
CUCGUUCUCCGGGCCUUUCCUUUCCUUCCCUUCCCGUCCCUUCCCAAGAGGAAGGGGGGGCGGGAAUAGAAAGGCCUGGGUGUUGGGUACGCCGUCCUCGCGUGUCCCCACGGAGGACGGGCCCGAAACGCAGUGGCGGUGCCGAUUCCGGUCCCUGGAGCAUAUAUGGGGCGUUGUCACCUGCUCGAGGGGGGGCCGGAUCCGGUCGCUGGCCUGGAAGUUCAAUGAAUCUGA